ACGUCGAUCCAGACUUCGUUCAAACGACCCGACAGGUGACGUGACGAAUUAUACUGAGCAACGGUGUAUUCUGAGAUGGCUGAACUCUUAGAAAACCUCCUGACUGCUAAGCAAUUGCUUCUCCACUUCUCAAACUGAACAUUGAGUUCAGAAUUGGGCAGCGGCGGGUUUUCGGUAUACAUAGAAGGAAGAUAAUACCUAACCAAGCGCUCGGGGCCACGCGUCGAUGCCAUAAUGGUCGUCGUGACAGGAGAAGUGAUAAGAAAGUGAGAAGAGUUGCUAUUAGCACCAUGAAUGUAUUGAUACAAUCUGAUGCCAACCAAUACAAGAGAUUAUUAGUUCAAAUCAGAAGGAAAAUCCCACCACAUUUUCUUGGUGGAAUUUUCUUGGUGGAAUUUUCUUGGUGGAAUUUUCUUGGCAACCAAACGGAAAAUAGCAACUUAUACCUGUGGAAGCCUUGCUGGGUGGACUUCUCAAAGGAGGCUGUUCCUUGGACAAGAGCUGAUACCCAUGAGACUUGUUUAUACUGUCUAAUCUCAAAUUCUGCCUCCACAUGAAUCACAUUAUAAUGUGGAGAUUCAAUCACUCUGCCUGAGCUACAACAAAAGAAGCAUAUUGUUAGAGCAAAGUUGAUCACUAUCUUACCGUUCAUCCU
This is a long non-coding RNA of Cucurbita moschata (crookneck pumpkin), 655 nucleotides long. RefSeq lists it as uncharacterized. The transcript is spliced from 2 exons. The record is from RefSeq and is a predicted model, not a curated record. NCBI's taxonomy places the organism in Eukaryota, Viridiplantae, Streptophyta, Magnoliopsida, Cucurbitales, Cucurbitaceae.